Molecule: non-coding RNA, 211 nt
Organism: Pelobates cultripes (western spadefoot toad)
Lineage: Eukaryota; Metazoa; Chordata; Amphibia; Anura; Pelobatidae
Source: the annotation of a GenBank genome assembly
CUAUUGGAUGCUGGUGAGCUGCACAUGCAUAUCCCCAAGUUUGCUGACAGCAUAGCAAUAUUGUCCAACAAGGUCAAAAUAAUUUGUAUAAACUAUACUGAUGUUACAUAUUGGCAGACAUUUGGCUAACACUAUAGGUAGAUGGUAUUUUUUUUUUUUUUAAUUGACUCUAAGGGCACUUAAAAAGAGAGCAAGUACACUGUAGAGAUUG